CCCUUAGAUGUUCUGGGCCGCACGCGCGCUACACUGAUGCAUUCAACGAGCCUAUCCUUGGCAGAAGUGCCCGGGUAAUCUUUGAAACUGCAUCGUGAUGGGGAUAGAUUAUUGCAAUUAUUAGUCUUCAACGAGGAAUGCCUAGUAAGCGCGAGUCAUCAGCUCGCGUUGAUUACGUCCCUGCCCUUUGUACACACCGCCCGUCGCUCCUACCGAUUGGGUGUGCUGGUGAAGUGUUCGGAUUGGCUCCUAUUGGUGGCAACACUGAUUGGAGCCGAGAAGAUCAUUAAACCCUNCNACCUAGNGGAAGGAGAANUCGUANCA
This 324-nucleotide ribosomal RNA is filed under the name uncultured eukaryote. RNAcentral describes it as "partial 18S ribosomal RNA". It matches the Rfam family "Eukaryotic small subunit ribosomal RNA", at positions 1470 to 1796 of the family's 1831-position model. The record is from RNAcentral.